Molecule: long non-coding RNA, 466 nt
Organism: Ixodes scapularis (black-legged tick)
Lineage: Eukaryota; Metazoa; Arthropoda; Arachnida; Ixodida; Ixodidae
Exons: 3
Source: RefSeq, a predicted model, not a curated record
UUUAUGGAACUCAAUCAGACCGCGGAAGUACAGCGCCCGUGAGCCGAGUUACGCCGCGCGAAGGAAGACAUCUCUCUCCCGCGCAUGCGCAAGCCAUUGCCGGCCGGCUUGGGCCCGGGGGCUGCGGAAUGCUGCUACCCGUUCGGAAGGCGAGUUUGGCGUUGUUGUCGCGUCGUCAGCGGCGUUCUACGGUGCGCAGACGGCUUCGUUUUCCAAGGCAGAAGCAUCUUCAACUGCCACUGGAUGGCACCAGGUACUUCGAAGGCUUCAGCUUCCUCUCUGCUAUGGAGCUGAUGUACGCCACAUACUGUUGUCUCAACCUAAACUACCCUGCUGAGCUGCCAGCAGCAUUGAAGUUCGUUUAGAGGCAACUUGUGGCAAUGGACCCACAGGAGGGGUCCCGGCAGUCUUGAAGAAAAGUUGCUCUGGUGCGUCUGAAGGCGCAGGGAGCCCACCAAGAGUUCUC